GCAGGUCGAACGAGGAAUAGAGAGCUUGCUUUCUAUAGCCGAGUGGCGAACGGGUGAGUAACACGUGACCAACCUGUCUUAAGGUGAGGGACAACCUGGGGAAACCUGGGCUAAUACCGCAUGAUGUCUUUUUUUCACAUGGGAAAGAGACCAAAGGGGGCCUCUGCUUGCAUGCUCUCGCCUAAUGAGGGGGUCGCGUCGUAUCAGCUUGUUGGUGAGGUAACGGCUCACCAAGGCUAUGACGCGUAGCGGGUCUGAGAGGACGAUC
This 268-nucleotide ribosomal RNA is filed under the name uncultured bacterium. RNAcentral's name for it is "partial 16S ribosomal RNA". It matches the Rfam family "Bacterial small subunit ribosomal RNA", at positions 57 to 305 of the family's 1533-position model. The record is from RNAcentral.